RNAcentral lists this long non-coding RNA (905 nucleotides) under Brassica napus (rape). Its description in RNAcentral is "long non-coding RNA (BNAP_LNC002621)". Lineage: Eukaryota; Viridiplantae; Streptophyta; Magnoliopsida; Brassicales; Brassicaceae. The record is from RNAcentral.
UGGGGGGUCUAGUGAUGAAAAUUAAAGUUUGGGAGGUUUGAGUGUGGGAUUGAAAAGUAGGAAGAAGACUAGUGAAGUCAACGCAAAGCAAAAUUAAAGUUACCGAGAAAGAGAGAGAGUCACGGCAGAAUUGGUGUGGUUAUAAAAGGAGAAAAGCCAGUAAGAGACGUCAAUAAUUCAGUUACAGUCUAAAGUUUAGAAGGAGUGAAUGUAUAGAUUAGGUUAAAAUUAAUGAGAAGUGGGUAAGUAGUUAACUUCGUUAAAUGAGUUGCUUUCACUUAUAAAUGGCAACGCACCCUCUUUUGGGCUUUGGCUUCGGUUGUUGUGUUUCAUUUAUUUCUUUGUUAUAUCCAUUGCCUAUGCUCACUUUACUUACGUUUAUAAUCAACUAUCUCGCUAAAGGGGGUUACGUUUAAGUUCUGUCCACGUACUUCAUUAAAUUUUUGGUUUUUAAGAUUCGUUCAAUAAAGAAAACUUGAAGGAGAUGAUAGUGGAGAUACAAUAAUAGUGUUUUGCUUUGCCGAAGGCAAGAUUUUUUUCAUUAUAAAAAACGAAGAGACAGUAUAAUUGAUGCUCAGUUAGGGCGACUUGGUCAUAAUACUGGGAGUGCUAGAAAAGUUGCUAGUAUUGAUGUAAAUCAAUAUUAUAAUCGAUGUUUUGAGUAUGAUAUAUACAAUAUGGAUUUGGAUUUAUUUUGUUGUCGCACGACUCGCACCAUAAGAGCGGUCAUCGCUAGACCGGAUGACACUAGCACUCUUAACUCUCAGAGGUGGCCCUUGAGUUUAUUUGCUUUUGGUAUUAUUUAGUUUUUCUAAAAAUUGUCGUGUUUAUUUGGUAGAUUGCUUUGAUAUAAAUUUACGAAAUAUUUGGAGAAUGGGCUAUAGGAGAGUGAACUGUUAACUUGG